Molecule: RNA transcript, 5818 nt
Organism: Pteropus alecto (black flying fox)
Lineage: Eukaryota; Metazoa; Chordata; Mammalia; Chiroptera; Pteropodidae
Gene: P2RX5
Gene name: purinergic receptor P2X 5
Exons: 12
Source: RefSeq, a predicted model, not a curated record
GCGGAGGCGGCGGGCGAGGGGCGGUUCCCAUGCGGCACACGUGGCGGCGCGGUCCCCAGGCCCAGGUGAGACAGCACCAUGGGGCAGGCUGGCUGCAAGGGGCUCUACCAGUCGCUGUUCGACUAUAAGACCGAGAAGUAUGUCAUCGCCAAGAACAAGAAGGUGGGCCUGCUCUACCGGCUGCUGCAGGUCUCCAUCCUGACCUACCUGGUGGUUUGGGUGUUCCUGGUGAAGAAGGGUUACCAAGACACCGACACCUCCCUACAGAGCAGCAUCAUCACCAAAGUCAAGGGCGUGACCUUCACCAACACUUCGGAGCUCGGGGAGCGGCUCUGGGAUGUUGCUGACUACGUCAUCCCACCUCAGGGAGAGAACGUCUUCUUCGUCAUCACCAACCUGAUCGUGACCCCCAACCAGCGGCAAGAAACCUGUGCUGAGAGUGAAAGCAUUCCUAACGCCGUGUGCUAUGAGGACAGCGACUGCCCUCCUGGGGAGCCUGUUAUGACUGGAAAUGGAGUGAGGACUGGCCGCUGCUUGCGAGCAGGGAACACACAAAGGGGCACCUGCGAGAUCUUCGCCUGGUGCCCAGUGGAGACAAAGUCCAGGCCAGAGAAGCCACUCUUGGGCAAGGCUGAAGACUUUACCAUUUACAUAAAGAACUUCAUUCGUUUCCCCAAAUUCAACUUUUUCAAGACCAAUGUGCUGGACACCAAAGACAGAAAUUUCCUGAAGUCCUGUCAAUUUGGCCCUAAGAACCCCUACUGCCCCAUCUUCCGACUGGGGUCUUUGGUCAGCUGGACUGGGAGCAACUUCCAGGAGAUAGCCUUGCAGGGCGGUGUAAUAGGAAUUCAGAUUGAGUGGGACUGUGAUCUUGAUAAAGCUCCUUCUGAAUGCAACCCUCGCUAUUAUUUUAGCCGUCUGGACAGCAAAUUUCCAGGAAACUCUGUCUCUUCUGGGUACAACUUCAGGUUUGCCAAAUAUUACCGAAAUGAAGCUGGGGUGGAAUUCCGCACCCUGAUGAAAGCCUACGGGAUCCGCUUUGAUGUCAUGGUAAAUGGCAGGGCAGGGAAGUUCAGCAUCAUCCCCACAAUCAUCAACGUGGCCUCGGGGGUGGCGCUCAUGGGUGUUGGGUCUUUCUUCUGCGACCUGGUGCUCAUCUACUUCAUUAAAAAGAGCCAUUUUUACCGCAACAAGAAGUAUGAGGAGGCGAGGUCAGUCAUGCUUCCUCCCCAGCAGCCCGAGGGGAGCCCUGUGGAGACACCUCAGUCAGCCGCCCCCUCCCUGGCUUAGGAUCUUUGCCUUGGGUGGAUGGAGGUGCUCGGGGUGUGGCGGCAGGGCUGAACAUGGGAGCUCCCCUGGAAGGGCCGGGAAGGUGGAUUGUUCAGAGUGUGUGCCCUACAGAACCGGACUCUGUCUCAGAGCAGCCAGCAGAAGAAAAGGCCACCACAGGCUGCGGGCAGGAGACCUGGUUUCCAGGCUUGGACAAGUUCCAAGCCUCCUUGGACCUCAGUUUCUCUUUGUGAAAUGAGAAUUGGUUUACAUACAGUGCCUUCCAGCACUUAAAUUUUAGGAUUCUUGGUCCUGAUGGGCUGGGUUUGAAGGAAGCUGGAGUGGUAAGGGAAGAAAAAAAAUGAUAUUUAUUUAUUUAUUUUUACUAUAGGAGCCUAUUUCCAGGCUUUCUUGGGCUGUGGGCUUGGUGGGGGUGUGUGUGUGUAUUCAGAGCACAACAUGAAUGGGCAAUCCUGAUGUCUGUGGGCAGACAGAAAGGGGAAGGAGCUCUGGCCCAGCCCUUGGGAAGGCUUUCUGGAUGAGUUGGGAUGAGAAUGGGGAAUUGCAGGUGGUGGGCUCCAGAUAGGUAGGGUGUCGUUCCCUCAGCCCCACUAUACCUUGGGACAACAGGUGGAGGGUCGGCCCAUAUCAUUUGCCUGGCUUGACCCCCAGCUCUGGUUCAUAGGCUGAACUCUGAGCCCUGACUCUGGUUGAAGACUGGGUGAGCCCUGACUGCACUGGUGCCCCCUGAGCUGUUGGAGGAAUAGGGGUGCCCUCUGCAUGGCAAGUAGUUCUGCAGGGCCUGCCCUCACCAGUCCUGGGGGGAGGUCAGGCUGCACAGGCCAGGGUUAACGGCAAGUCCUGCCCAGGGACCUGGAGGUCCUCACCCUGUGAGCAGAGUCCUUGCAGCAUGAUGGGUCUUCGGAUGCUGAGGAUGCAGUGGAGGGGCCUGGGUUGCUGAGCACAGGAUGAAGGUGGCAACCAGGAGAAUGGCUGUGUGUUCUGGUAUCUCCUGGAGCAGGCUACUCUGGUCCCUGCUCUGUGGUGACCCGGUCACAAGGCAGGAUGUCCACGACCCAAGAGAGCUUCAUCCAAGCUGGAUUCUGAGAAGAGGGGUGCUGGUGGUGCUUUAGCCCCUCCAUGAUCCUCAUUAGCUCCCCAGUACCCCUAAGUAACCACCGGAUUGCUGUGCUAUCCUGGUGUUAAGACAAUAGUACUGUCACUUACUCAGACUUACUCUCUGCCCGGCACUGCUCUGAGCAAUUUGUAUAUAUGAACUUAUUUCGGCAACUUUAAUAAGGGAGACAUUAACAUUCCCUAUUCUACUAAUGAGGAAACUGAGGCACAGAAAGCUUAAGUAACUUACUUGUCACACAGCUAAUCAAUAGCAGAGUUGGGGCUUGAACACAGGCAGUGUGUCCCCAGAAUCCAGUUCUUCUCCAUCAGGUUAUUUGACUUAUCAAGCCCUGUCUCCGCCAUGCCUUCCCUAAGCACAUCUUGAUGUGGAAAUUCUGGAGCUGCUCUAGCUUCAGGAGGGUGGUGGCUGUAUUGACUGCUGGUUGGCGGGCUGCCCUACACUGGGCUGUCCUGGGCAACCUGGCUGGUUCUGCCGAUGUGACUGCAGCCUGGUGUGGAAGGGUGCCCUGGGCUGAGUCAGGAGGUAGCCUUCAGGCUCACCCUGCCUCUACCUCCCUAUGUGCCCUUGAGCAUAGGUCUGGCCGUUUUGGGGCCUGUUUUCCUUUUUUUUUUUUUUUUUUCAGUGGGGGCUGCACAUAGGCCCAGGUUGUUGUCAGACUAGGGUUCUGUGAUUCUCCAGGAGUUUACUGGCGUGGGGUGGACUUUUCUCUGGCCCCUACCUUUCAUUCAUUGCUGACUCAGGGACUAGCAGACUCCAACCGAGAGCUGGGCUUGGGUAGGAAAGGGGUGAGAAAUGGAGUGGGACAGAGAGGAAGGGCAAAGGAUGGAGAGGAGUGAGGGAAGAGUGUUGGAGAAGUUGGUGGGGCUGCAGCAGCUGGGGCUGGGGAUCUGAGGUAGGCCUAGCACCUAGCAGCCCCCCACGUGCUUCCUGAGCUAUCACUUGUUGGAUGCUUGCCUGAGCUCAUCAGUCUGUGAGAGGGAAGAAUGGCCGUCCUGCUGGUCUCAGCACAGCCUUACUUGUUGUGAGAGGCUUGAGCCGCCACCACAGUGGCUGCUGCUCAUUGCGGGGGCAGCUCCAAAGACGUGUCUUUGCUGCCCCUCCCUGUGAAUGCUCUGCCUGCCUGCGGUGCUGCCAGUGAGAGGAUGCUGCAGGUAGAGUCUGCCUUUAGGAGGCUGUCUUUGUCCAUAGAGUUCCCAACCAUCCUCUGAGCCCUAUGUGUGUCCUCCACCCACCCACACACAGGUCUGGCCACCAGGGAAAUGGAAAGGUGAAUGUGGAACAGCUUCAGAACCUGCAGACAGUGGAGGCAUAGCCAGAGGUAUUGGCUGAGCAGAUUUGUUGAAGACCUUGCGGGCAGAACUGCUGCAGCUCUCAAGUGGGAAGAAUCAUCUUUGUGUCUGCGUAGGACAGGGACUUCCAGGCACAGCCCUCUAUCCUGCAUUUUGGGAUCUUGCUACAAGCUUUUUGUUGUGUGUGUGUGUGUGGAGGAGCCUCCCAGUGGCCAGAGUGGCUCAGAUCUAGAAGAGGAGACUGGAGAGGGAAGGGGGAAGGUCAGGAGCCUGAGUGAUACUAGAGUGUUUUUAUUUUUUUCUGAGAACCUAGUUGGACAUUAAUCCAUUCAUACAUGCAGUAAACAUUUUUGCUGUGGGCUGGGCCUAUCCAAGAGCUGCUUAAAUGAGAUGCUGACCUGGCCCUGAGAGAGGGGAGUACAUAUAGAAUUCCCUCCAGAGCCAACAAACAUCACAGCCAGGCUCAGCCACUCUGGCCUUCCUCCAGCCUGAGACUUUCACAAAUCCCUGCAAAGCAUGACGGCUCCUCAAAGAGAUCUUGGAGAUCCAAAGAGACAUUUGGCAAAGAGGCAACCAGUAGAGAACUGGACCUGUCAGGAGGUGCUGGCCUUUGAGGGGAGAGGCAGCCUCCAAGGGCUUCUAGGUAAGGUGGGGAGGGGAGGCCUCUCUCCAGCCUGACUCGCUCAGUCUGUGGAGGCUCUGGGCAUAGUUUGUCAUCCAGAUGAUGGGGAUCAUAGCCUGUGGUUUGGCUCUUGCUGUUCUAUGGGGUUGGGUAUCCCUGCUGGGCUCUCCUGUCUCUCCUUCAAGGCUGGGUCUUAAGGGGGCUGAUGAGAUAGUGCUCACUGAGCAGGUGCAAACAGUUGUUGUUAGUGAGGCCCAAACUUUUAGGGAGUCCUUCACUCCCUCACUCCUGCCCCUCCUUCCCUACCCCACUCCACCCUGCAGAACUCCAUUGCUUCCCUCCCUUAGUGGCUGUAGAGCCUCCCUACUCAAAGUGUGGUCCGUGGAUCAGCAGCAUCUGCAUCACCUGGGAGCUUGUUAGAUGCGCAGUCUCGGCCCCUCCCUUGUCCUUCUAUAUCAGAGCCUUAGUUUCAACAAGAUUCCCAGGUGAUUGUUAAAGUCUGAGAAGCACUGGUUGAGAUCUGCAGAGCUGGUUCUAAAGGAGGAAAAGGCCAGCUUUGGUGGGUAGUGCCAUUUUCUAGGUCAGACUUACAGUUUACCUUGAGACUGAGAGGACGCCCCUCCCCCAUGUCCACCCUCACUCCAGGGAAAGGAGCAUUACACUCAAUUUAUUUAAAUUAAAAUAUUUGACUAGAUAAUACCUAUAAUUCAAAAUGUAAAAGGUACAAAAGAAUAGACAGUGAAAAGCUUCCCUCCCACCCCUGUUCCCCAAGGCAGCCUGUUACCAAUUACAAGAGGCUCCCUUGUUUUGCUGAGAAUCCAGCUGGUUACUGGCCUCUCUCAGGAAAUGAACUUUUCCUGAUACCUGCAAUGUUAGACCAAGCCUCUGUCAGAAGGGGCAUGAUGCAACAGGCUUAAAUAUUGCGUUGGGAGCUAGCUACCCCACUUCUCCAUCUCUCAGUGUCUGAGGAGUCCCUGUGUAAACCCUAGGGCUCUCUCUGGCCUCGAGUCAGAGGAGUCUGGUUCUUCUCUGCACACAGAGAAGGUAAGCAUCCUUCCCUUGGCGCCUUUGCGGAGGGUGAGAAGGGGCCUGAAAGGUCUCUGAUGAGGCUCUGCCACUGGAGCAGAGGGUCAUGGUGCCCAGAAUAAGAACCCUUCUGGGGCAAGCAGCUCCCUCACCUUGGGCUGUCUGGUAACCAGUCAACAAGUCCACGUGCUCUCUAAAAAAGUGAAAAUUCUGAUUGAUCCACUAUGGUGUUUCACUUUCUCACGAAAGCAAACACUUAGAUUGGAUAAUCAAACAUGUUACUUUUCUAUUUGGGAGGAAGUGAAAAGGGCAGGGGUCGUGGCUGCUCAGGAGUUGGUCUGGUUUAUUUUAACCUGUUUUUGGAGUUGCUUGGCAAUAGUCAUAAAACCUAGGAACAGUUGUACUAUUUCUUUUACACUGGAAUGAAAAUGUCUUUCUACACUAUUAAUUCAGUCAGUAAACAUUUAUUGAAUA